ACUAGACUAGAUUGGAGAACAAGCUUUUGAUGUAGACUAUGUUGUGGUUGUAAUAAUCAAGUGUUGAGAGAGCUACAAUUACAGAGAUAAGCAGAUUAAACGAGUCAGGGGUAAGAAGAAACUAAGGAUUGAAGAUGGAAGAUUUUAUUACAUUAGUUUCUUCCUUGUUUUGUUAGAUUAGUCUGAUAGAUAUGUCUGAUGAUUAUUUACCAUUGUUUAAUGGAACUUUCAUUUCCUUGUACCUGAUAUAGAAUUUAGGUACUUGUUCUUUUGAACAAGCUAUUCUAUAAAUUUUAAUGUAUCUGAAUCUCAAAUAUGUAUAUCUUGGUCAAUAUUCUAGACAUUUGACAUUGGAUGUUACA
Long non-coding RNA from Trifolium pratense (red clover), 362 nucleotides. RefSeq lists it as uncharacterized. The record is from RefSeq and is a predicted model, not a curated record. Lineage: Eukaryota; Viridiplantae; Streptophyta; Magnoliopsida; Fabales; Fabaceae. The transcript has 2 exons.